AUCAAGAUGAGAUAGUGAUGGACUUUUCCACAAAAUUUUCCAUUUGGUUUCACCAACUUCUCCCCCUAAUUCUGGGAAAAGUGUCUCAUCAAAUCGACAGUCUGCAAAUCGUGCAGUAAACAAGUCGCCUGUCAAUGUUUCGAGGUAAAUGAUGGAGGGCGAUUCAAACCCAACAUAUAUUCCUAACCUUCUUUGCGGACCCAUUUUGGUGCGGGAUGGCGGUGCUAUAGGCACAUAUACUGCGCUAUUCCUAACCUUCUUUGUGGACCCAUUUUGGUGCGAUAUGGCGGUGCUACAGGCACAUAUACUGCGCAUCCAAAAAUUCUUAAAUGGAAUAUAGUAGGUUCAUGACCCAAAACCAAUUGCAACGG
Molecule: long non-coding RNA, 371 nt
Filed under: Nicotiana benthamiana
Lineage: Eukaryota; Viridiplantae; Streptophyta; Magnoliopsida; Solanales; Solanaceae
Description: long non-coding RNA (NBEN_LNC031527)
Source: RNAcentral